ACGGCUGUGCACUCGGGCGAGCUUGAGAUCGAGCGCUAGAGGAGAGGGAGAGAGCUCCAGAGCAACGGGAAAAUGAGAGGGGGUGCAGGGCAUCUCCCAGACGAGCGGAUGGGGACGAGGACGUGGGGGACAGCGCUAAGCAGGAGGUGGCAGCAGGGUGAGCCCGCGCAACACGCCUCUGCCUACAGGCAGAUGUUCAAGAAGACCUGGCCGUGGGCUGGCUUGGCUUCAGGUGAUUGCUCACAACAUUGGCCUAGGGUGACAAGACGUUAGGUUAUUGCUCCCUACAUUACAGUCUUUGGCCAAAGGGAAUCCACGACUUGCUCUAAGGUUUGUGAUGUUGCAGCGCCGGUACACGGAGAUCAACAGGAAGGUGGCCAUCGCCAGGACCCGCUUGAGCCUCAUGCAGGAGGACAUGUACGUACUAACAUAAACAAGAUGACAGAUAAGUUCUCUGCUCUUCAGCUCAAAGUGACGGAGGUGAAUGCGUUGUUCACCAUGAAGCAGAAUCACUCCUCCAAAGGUUAACUAAUUAAUUUACAUUGUCUUCUUUUUGUAGUUUAUUCAUGCCAAGUUCAACGGCCCUCUGAACUUAUCUACGAAAGCAGUUUCUGAACUCUAAGCUUGUGUGACUAUUGCUGAAGUGAUCUAUUGUGGUAACUCCUUUUGAAUCUCCCA
Triticum dicoccoides is the source of this 678-nucleotide long non-coding RNA. RefSeq lists it as uncharacterized. Lineage: Eukaryota; Viridiplantae; Streptophyta; Magnoliopsida; Poales; Poaceae. The record is from RefSeq and is a predicted model, not a curated record. The transcript is spliced from 3 exons.